Molecule: ribosomal RNA, 253 nt
Filed under: uncultured bacterium
Lineage: Bacteria
Description: partial 16S ribosomal RNA
Rfam family: Bacterial small subunit ribosomal RNA
Source: RNAcentral
UACGUAGGGUGCAAGCGUUGUCCGGAAUUAUUGGGCGUAAAGAGUGUGUAGGCGGUGCUCUAAGUUCGGUGUGAAAUCUCCUGGCUUAACUGGGAGGGUGCGCCGGAAACUGGGGUGCUCGAGCGUGGGAGAGGAAAGCGGAAUUCCUGGUGUAGCGGUGAAAUGCGUAGAUAUCAGGAGGAACACCUGUGGUGUAGACAGCUUUCUGGACCAUUGCUGACGCUGAGACACGAAAGCGUGGGUAGCAAACAGG